GUCUAUAAGAAGUCAUAGAAAAUAUAUACAUGUCUAAGUCCAAAUAAACACACAUCCAUUUGUUAUCAAAGAAAAUUUGAACAAAAUUAAGAGGGUAGCUUCGAUAUCUGAGAAUUGCCAAGGAAAUGUGUUGCUUUCCCUAUGCUUCUAUCGCUUAAUCUGAACACGUGACCAACAUAACCACUUAACUCUCCUCUGCAAUCUUCAUCGCUUGGAUCAUUGAAAUAUAUGAAAUUCCCAUCCCAUCCAUCAAAUUCUUUAGUAGAAAAAGAGAAACAACACUCAUUUCCCACAACAAAAACUCGAUCAUCCAAUGUUUUCACAUCUACCCAGGUACCCCAAUCUUCAUCAAGCUUAUAAACUUUGACGUCCACUGUCUUAGCUCUACUUCUUCGGUAGUUUCUAACAAGAUAAAGCAAGUAUUGAUUUAUAUGCUCAUCUUCAUUGCCUUGCCAUGUCCUCCUUUCUCCAUCAAGGUACCUAUCCACAACAUAAAGAUCCCCACAGGACUCCACCAAAUUCUUCUUGCUACCACAACCGUAUAGUGGAGGUGAGUAUUGAAUCAAAUUCAAUGAAGAAUCAAUCCAAGAAACAGUUCCACAUCUAUCAAUAACAUACAAUUGUCCCUUGUAUACUAUAAUGUCAUCGUAAUGAAAAUUCCUAUCAUCUAAUAGAUUCCAAUUCUCAUCUCCAUUUCUCCAAUAACCCAAUUUUCCUUCAUGAAAGAUAGCAAAAAGCCCAAAAUCACUGCUACUAACAUCAUUACUCAGAUUGGUAUUUGGAAACGGAACCAUCUUAUCAAUCCCAAGAACUGGACGGCCUUUUGCACGUUUAAGAGUACAAGCUUUAGCCAAUUCCACCAAACGAAAGUUCAAUAAGUUCAACGUUUUUUUGGGAACAGGCCAGGAUAAAGCUUUAAUUUGGCGGUUUGAGAGUGGCAUCAAAAGCUGCAUAUCGCCUACCGUUGACUCCUCCACCUUAGUCAACCAGGCCAUAGAAUUAGAGCUCGAAGAGCUGAAAUUGUCCUCCACCUGUUCGAGACGGCAGAUUGUGACAGGAGAUAAGAAAGCGUCUGCAAAGAUUGGGGGAGGAAGCUUGAGAGGGAUGCGAGUUGAUUGCCUGUAGGAGGGAGAAACAGAGGAUCGCCAUGAAGUGCACACAGCCCGAAAUCGGUACACGUCGAUGCGACAAUCAAGGUGUUUUCCAAUUUUUUGCAGUAAUUCCUUUGGAAGAUUGGCCCACUGGUAAAGGGUAUUCCUAUCACUCAUCUCUCUCUCGCAGAUUGGUGAAGAGCUUAAAGAC
Molecule: unclassified non-coding RNA, 1302 nt
Filed under: Hevea brasiliensis (rubber tree)
Lineage: Eukaryota; Viridiplantae; Streptophyta; Magnoliopsida; Malpighiales; Euphorbiaceae
Source: RNAcentral